AUUGAAACAAUAUUCAACUACACUACAAAGAGAGGAUAUAAAACCAUUGUGAUGUUGUUGUAAAACAUAGCGUUUGCCUUGAGAAUGCACCAAGCACCUAAUUGUAGAAGAUAAAAAGAAAAUUACAACAACAAGUCCUAACAACUCUAAUAGAUUCUUAAAAAAAUUACAAUUAAAGAUUAGCAAUUAUAAUCAAACAUCAAUCAAAUUCAAUCAAAAUUAUAAAAUAAUUAUAUAAGAAAUACAAAGUAUUCCUAAAGACCUUUUAAAGAAAUCAUAAAGAAAUAACAUAAGAAUUCAAAAAUAUACUAAAAUAGAAAUCUUAAUAAAAUAUUAAAAUAGAAACUUUAAUUAAAUCCUAAUCAAAUCCUAAUCAAAUCCUAAUCAAAUCCUAACCAAAUUUUAACCAAAUCCUAGUCAAAUCCUAACGAAAUCCUAGUCAAAUCUAAAUAAAUCCUAAUAAAAUCUUAAACAAAUUCCAGUCAACUCUAAAUAAAUUCUAAUCAAAUUCUAAAAAAAUCUUAGUCAAAUCUUAAUCAAAUCCUAACCAAAUCCUAAUCAAAUCCUAACAAAAUCCUAACCAAAUCUUAGUCAAUCCUAAAUAAAUCUUAAUCAAAUUGAAAACAAAUUCAAAUCAAAUCAAAGUCAUAUCCUAGUCAAAUCCUAACCAAAUACUAUUCAAAUCCUAAUCAAAUCCUAAUCAAUCAUAAAUAAAUCCUAAUCAAUCUUAAAUAAAUCUUAGUCAAAUCCUAAACAAAUCCUAACCAAAUCCUAAUCAAAUCCUAAUAAAUCCUAAUCAAACCCUAAAUAAAUCUAAAAAAAUCCUAACCAAAUUCUAAUCAAUCUUAAAUAAAUCCUAAUCAAUUCUAAAUAAAUCCUAGUCAAACCCUAAACAAAUCUUAACCAAAUCUUAAUCAAAUCCUAAUAAAUUUUAAUCAAAGCCUAAACAAACGUAAAAAAAUCCUAACCAAAUCCUAAUCAAAUCCUAAUCAAACCUUAGUCAAACUCUAACCAAAUUCUAAUCAAAUUCUAACCAAAUGCUAUUCAAUUCUAAAUAAAUCCUAAUUAAAUCCUAAAAAAAUCCUAAUCAAAUCCUUAUCAAACCCUAGUCAAUUUUAAAUAAAUCUUAGUCAAAUCUUUAAAAAAUCCUAAUCAAAUCCUAAAAAAUCUAAAUAAAUUCUAAUCAAACCGUAAUCAAAUCCUAACCAAAUUAUAACCAAAUCCUUGUCAAAUUCUAAUCAAAUCCUAAUCAAAUCCUAAUCAAAUCCUAACCAAAUCCUAAAUAAAUCCUAACCAAUUUUUAACCAAACUCUAAUCAAAUCUUAUACAAUCUAAAAUAAAUCCUAAUCAAAUCCUAAACAAAUCCUAACCAAAUCCUAACCAAAUCCUAGUUAAAUCCUAAUGAAAUUUAAAUCAGUUCUAAAUAAAUCUUAGUCAACUCUAAAUAAAUCUUAAUCAAAUUCUAAACAAAUCUUAAUCAAAUCCUAGUCAAAUCCUAAACAAACUUAAAUAAAUCUUAAC
RNAcentral lists this long non-coding RNA (1521 nucleotides) under Physcomitrium patens. Its description in RNAcentral is "long non-coding RNA (PPAT_LNC009890)". The record is from RNAcentral. Lineage: Eukaryota; Viridiplantae; Streptophyta; Bryopsida; Funariales; Funariaceae.